RNAcentral lists this ribosomal RNA (201 nucleotides) under Vibrio parahaemolyticus. RNAcentral describes it as "partial 16S ribosomal RNA". It matches the Rfam family "Bacterial small subunit ribosomal RNA", at positions 1321 to 1521 of the family's 1533-position model. The record is from RNAcentral. Lineage: Bacteria; Pseudomonadati; Pseudomonadota; Gammaproteobacteria; Vibrionales; Vibrionaceae.
UGAAGUCGGAAUCGCUAGUAAUCGUGGAUCAGAAUGCCACGGUGAAUACGUUCCCGGGCCUUGUACACACCGCCCGUCACACCAUGGGAGUGGGCUGCAAAAGAAGUAGGUAGUUUAACCUUCGGGGGGACGCUUACCACUUUGUGGUUCAUGACUGGGGUGAAGUCGUAACAAGGUAGCGCUAGGGGAACCUGGCGCUGG